Molecule: ribosomal RNA, 492 nt
Filed under: uncultured bacterium
Lineage: Bacteria
Description: partial 16S ribosomal RNA
Rfam family: Bacterial small subunit ribosomal RNA
Source: RNAcentral
AUUGAACGCUGGCGGUAUGCCUAACACAUGCAAGUCGAACGGCAGCACAGUAAGAGCUUGCUCUUACGGGUGGCGAGUGGCGGACGGGUGAGGAAUACAUCGGAACCUACUUUUUCGUGGGUGAUAACGUAGGGAAACUUACGCUACUACCGCAUACGACCUACGGGUGAAAGCAGGGGAUCUUCCGACCUUGCGCGCUGGUAUGAGCCGAUGUCGGAUUAGCUAGUUGGCGGGGUAAAGGCCCACCAAGGCGACGAUCCGUAGCUGGUCUGAGAGGAUGAUCAGCCACACUGGAACUGAGACACGGUCCAGACUCCUACGGGAGGCAGCAGUGGGGAAUAUUGGACAAUGGGCGCAAGCCUGAUCCAGCCAUGCCGCGUGGGUGAAGAAGGCCUUCGGGUUGUAAAGCCCUUUUGUUGGGAAAGAAAAGCAGCAGGUUAAUACCCCGCUGUUCUGACGGUACCCAAAGAAUAAGCACCGGCUAACUUCGUG